This is a long non-coding RNA of Tupaia belangeri chinensis (Chinese tree shrew), 615 nucleotides long. RefSeq lists it as uncharacterized. The record is from RefSeq and is a predicted model, not a curated record. The transcript is spliced from 2 exons. NCBI's taxonomy places the organism in Eukaryota, Metazoa, Chordata, Mammalia, Scandentia, Tupaiidae.
CUCUCCUAAUCACAAGACAUGGAAACUUGCCCAGGUAACGAGGGAAAAUGCAGCACAAUUCUUUUCUCUUGUUAAGGCGCUGUCAUUUCAACGUGAGCCUGGAGUGCUCGAAACAGAAUUCGAGUUUUCAAGAUGAAAGCAUGGCAAGAAGUGUCAGAUGGCAGUGGUGUCAGCAGGUGUGUUUCUGAAAAGUGAAAAAUCUCAAGAAGGAAAAACAGAAAUGGUACGCUUUAUCCAUCUCGCUUAGUGAAAGAGCUGCAGUCGAAAUUGUUUACAGUAGCAGGUACAAUGAAUAUUGUCACAAAUUAUGCUAAUUUUUGAAGUGGUGUGGGUGCUGACUCCUAGUAGUAUCAAAAAUAUGUUCAGGAUUGUUUUGAUAGCUGUAAUUAUAAUUAAAAAAUGUUGGUGGGGUGUAUUGAUUAAUUUCUGUUAAAAGCUGUUCCUGUGUGUUACAUGUAACAAACAUGGUAAAUAUUUGUUUACAGUUUUGUUUAACAAACCAUGCAUUAAAGUUGAAGUGAAGUCACCAAAAAGGAAAUAGGUGUAUGGAUAUGUGAUUUUGAGAUUAAAGUUAGUCUUAAAAUGUAAAUAAAAUGUGGAAUGUGUCCUCAGAAA